UAGGGAAUCUUCGGCAAUGGACGAAAGUCUGACCGAGCAACGCCGCGUGAGUGAAGAAGGUUUUCGGAUCGUAAAACUCUGUUGGUAGAGAAGAACGUUGGUGAGAGUGGAAAGCUCAUCAAGUGACGGUAACUACCCAGAAAGGGACGGCUAACUACGUGUCA
RNAcentral lists this ribosomal RNA (164 nucleotides) under uncultured bacterium. RNAcentral's name for it is "partial 16S rRNA". It matches the Rfam family "Bacterial small subunit ribosomal RNA", at positions 355 to 510 of the family's 1533-position model. The record is from RNAcentral.